GAGAAAGGAAGCCGACAAUAAGGGCCUCUGU
RNAcentral lists this non-coding RNA (31 nucleotides) under Homo sapiens (human). Lineage: Eukaryota; Metazoa; Chordata; Mammalia; Primates; Hominidae. The record is from RNAcentral.